UUUCCGUAGGUGAACCUGCGGAAGGAUCAUUAUCGUACCAAAUGUGUCAGGCAUGCUUGGGCUGUUGCUGACUCAAAAAGUCGUGCACGCUGGAGGGUGUCCUCUCACAUAAUAAUCCAUCUCACCCUUUGUGCAUCACCGCGUGGGCACCCUUUGGGAUCGGACCGAUCUCGGAAGGGGGCCCGCGUUUUCACACAAACCCCCCCAUCUAAAAGUGUAGAAUGUCCUCAUCUAUGCAAUAAAUACAACUUUCAACAACGGAUCUCUUGGCUCUC
Molecule: unclassified non-coding RNA, 275 nt
Filed under: plant metagenome
Description: partial contains small subunit ribosomal RNA, internal transcribed spacer 1, and 5.8S ribosomal RNA
Source: RNAcentral